Molecule: long non-coding RNA, 744 nt
Organism: Myotis myotis
Lineage: Eukaryota; Metazoa; Chordata; Mammalia; Chiroptera; Vespertilionidae
Exons: 3
Source: RefSeq, a predicted model, not a curated record
CUGGCAUCGGGAGGACCGAGAGCAGGGCUCUUAUAGCUGCGGACGAUUGAAUCUCAGACUGGCUCCAUUCCGCAGGCCACCUCCCUUAGGGAAGAGAAACAAGCCAAAGGCGAACGCAAACGGAAUCAGCCCUCAGGAGAGGAUCCUGGGCCGUCCCAGAGGCUCCGGGGGAGUUCCCCCACCCCCACCCCACCCCCAGGCGAUUCUGAGGAGCAGCAGGAUUUGGGGGCCCUCAUAAAAGAGCCUUCAGACCCCUGGACCCCCACGUGAAGGAGCGGGGCUCGUCCUCAGCCUGUGCAUCCGUAACCACUGCAGCUGUUCUUCACCCUGUGGAGGGGCCCAGAUGCCUUUGAAAAUCUAGUAAAACCAUCGAACUUCUCCUGGGGAAAAAGCACAGGGGCUCGAAUUCUGGCCAGCAGUGUCGGGGGAAUUAACGGGCUUCCCAGCGCUCAUUGAUGGAGCCCUGGAGGCCCACGGGCCCAUGGGAGGCGCAGCUGGCCUGUCUGGAGGCCUCCACGGCUGCAUGUCCAGUGUGGCCUCCUCUAGCCACGUGUGGCCACGGAGCACGUGGCAUGUUGCUGGUCUGGACUGAGGGGAGCUGUGCACACCUGGAUUCUGAAGGCUUAGUAUGGAAGAAGAAUAAAAAAACCUCCAGCCCUAACCGGUUUGGCUCAGCGGAUAGAGCGUCGGCCUGCAGACUGAAAGGUCCCAGGUUCGAUUCCGGUCAAGGGCAUGUACCUGGGU